GAUGAACGCUGGCGGCGUGCUUAACACAUGCAAGUCGAACGAAGCUGCUUAACUGAUCUUCUUCGGAAUUGACGUUUUGUAGACUGAGUGGCGGACGGGUGAGUAACGCGUGGGUAACCUGCCCUGUACAGGGGGAUAACAGUCAGAAAUGACUGCUAAUACCGCAUAAGACCACAGCACCGCAUGGUGCAGGGGUAAAAACUCCGGUGGUACAGGAUGGACCCGCGUCUGAUUAGCUGGUUGGUGAGGUAACGGCUCACCAAGGCGACGAUCAGUAGCCGGCUUGAGAGGGUGAACGGCCACAUUGGGACUGAGACACGGCCCAAACUCCUACGGGAGGCAGCAGUGGGGAAUAUUGCACAAUGGGGGAAACCCUGAUGCAGCGACGCCGCGUGAGUGAAGAAGUAUCUCGGUAUGUAAAGCUCUAUCAGCAGGGAAGAAAAUGACGGUACCUGACUAAGAAGCCCCGGCUAACUACGUGCCAGCAGCCGCGGUAAUACGUAGGGGGCAAGCGUUAUCCGGAAUUACUGGGUGUAAAGGGUGCGUAGGUGGUAUGGCAAGUCAGAAGUGAAAACCCAGGGCUUAACUCUGGGACUGCUUUUGAAACUGUCAGACUGGAGUGCAGGAGAGGUAAGCGGAAUUCCUAGUGUAGCGGUGAAAUGCGUAGAUAUUAGGAGGAACAUCAGUGGCGAAGGCGGCUUACUGGACUGAAACUGACACUGAGGCACGAAAGCGUGGGGAGCAAACAGGAUUAGAUACCCUGGUAGUCCACGCCGUAAACG
This 782-nucleotide ribosomal RNA is filed under the name uncultured bacterium. RNAcentral's name for it is "bacterial SSU rRNA". It matches the Rfam family "Bacterial small subunit ribosomal RNA", at positions 28 to 808 of the family's 1533-position model. The record is from RNAcentral.